CAGCAGACACAUUCCAGCCAAUCAGCAGCAGACCCUCCCUCCCAGACCCUCCCACCUUCUGGACAGCAUCCAUUUUACAUUCAUUGUGAAGCUGCAUUCUUAGUGAGCUGUCCAGGAGGUGGAAGGGUCUGGGAGGGAGGGUCUGCUGCUGAUUGGCUGGAAUGUGUCUGCUG
Molecule: microRNA precursor, 173 nt
Filed under: Pelobates cultripes (western spadefoot toad)
Lineage: Eukaryota; Metazoa; Chordata; Amphibia; Anura; Pelobatidae
Source: RNAcentral